AGGUUUAUUAAUAAUAAUCACAGGCAUCACCAGUGCAGUGUUGAUGGGCCUUGUCAUUGUAGUCUGUUGUCAUAUUUUCAGAAGACGCAGGGCCUAUUCACAUCCUCCCAGGGAAAGGCCUCAACCUGAGCCAAGCUCUCAAGUCCAGUUCGAUACGUACUCAACACUGGGACACCACCGGCCAAUCCCGUGCAGGAUCAACAGCGGCCAUAGCACAUCUUCCUCACUACAACUGACGCUAAACAGAUAAACGGCUCAACAUGUCUAAUGGAGUUUAAUCUGCAAACUUGCAGAAAAAAUCUAGAUCUAAAACAAAUAUAAAACAAAUCCCCCUGUGUGGCGGCUGUAAUUUAGUCUGGCUUUCUCUUAAUGUGAAUUAUUAACUUGCUUUGAAACAGUGCUGUUUUACAACUGCCAAGCAAGCAACUAAAAUAAUUUGAAAUUUGAAUACUGUGCUACUGCACUGAAGCUUUCAUUUUUUCAUGGUAUAAUCAACAGUUUUUGGUUUGUAGUUAUUUUCCUGAACUUUACAAUAAAUUAUUUUAGAAUGUUUAAUCUGUCGGAUGUUCAAAGUUUUUAUUUAAUAAUUUAAGCGUUUUGGUGACGUCUCUGCAAAGUUUUAAUUUCUAGUUUUGGAAAUGUUACUUUUAUUUAUAUAGCUGUGAACGUUAUUUGAGAAGCAUAAAAUAAAAUUGUGAUGCAUACCAUUAAAAAAUGUUUUCAAAAUGUUCCUAAAACAUUAUUGCCAUAAUGUUACAGGCUAAACUUCCUGAAAUCAUUUUAAGCGUUGCUAAAUGUUGAGCUAUGUUAGCUGUGUGUUGGGUGUUUCUAUGGACAUUUGCGAAGACCAGGAGCAAGUUUUACUUGAACCUAUUUAACUACAUCAUAUGUGCAUGUUACACGGUGCCUCAGCAGUUAGAGCACUCGGUUAUUGAUUAUCCAAAUGUGUCCAACACAAAAAUUUUAUAUUUGUGCAUCAGUAUCGCCUAACCUCAUAAACGCUUGACUACUUACUCAGUUAUUAUUACUAAAGCAUAAACUAUUGUAAAUGACUUGAUUAUUUACUGUAAUGCAUUUAGUGUAGUUAUUAACGUAAAUAAAUAAAGUGUGGGCUUAUAAACAGAGUAAAGAUAAUUAGCAUAGGAUUCAGGCUUGCUUUGUAGGAGUACAGAGCUUAUCGUAUAAUUACACUGUGUUAAUUAUGUAAAUGAAGUUCUGCAUUUAAUUGAAAGACUGUUAUGUGUUUUGUGUAGAAUCUAGAAUCAUCACCUUCUAUAAAGUAAUUAGCUGAUUUUUGGAUUAAUAAUGCUAAACUCUAUUCAGUGCUACAGUGCUUCCUGUUUCGAUACGUGUCAAAUAAAACAUCAUUUAAAAAACAAAAGCACGUUAAUUUACCUAUUUUAUUUAUCACUAUUUUCCCUACUUAUAGAAAUAACAAUAUUUUCUUUACUUAAAGAAAUGCAAGGUUAGCGACAGAAAAGUUAGCUAGCGUUAGUUAGCUACUAAGACGGACUACUGUCAAUGUUUUUUUUUUAUGCAUGUUAUGAAGAAAAUGACCAUAAAACAUAAAACAAUAAAACUAUGGUACACAUGGUGAACAAUAUAGUGGUCAUCACAUUUUACAAAUACUUACAUUAGUGGGUUUAUUUGGUCAACCCUACCCUACCAGGUAAAGUAGGACUGGGCCUAAAUUUGAAAAUAAAAAAUUGUGUGUAAAAAAAAUAAUUAUUGCAUCUUGUCUGUUUGGCAUUAUCACAAUAAACUGUUUUUCUUGUUUUCCCA
Molecule: long non-coding RNA, 1782 nt
Organism: Astyanax mexicanus (Mexican tetra)
Lineage: Eukaryota; Metazoa; Chordata; Actinopteri; Characiformes; Acestrorhamphidae
Exons: 2
Source: RefSeq, a predicted model, not a curated record